UACGGAGGGUGCAAGCGUUGUUCGGAUUUAUUGGGUUUAAAGGGUGCGUAGGCGGCUAUUUAAGUCAGUGGUGAAAUCCUGCAGCUCAACUGUAGAAUUGCCAUUGAUACUGGAUAGCUUGAGUACAGACGAGGUAGGCGGAAUUUAUGGUGUAGCGGUGAAAUGCAUAGAUACCAUAAAGAACCCCUAUUGCGAAGGCAGCUUACUAGGCUGUAACUGACGCUGAGGCACGAAAGCGUGGGGAUCAAACAGG
This 253-nucleotide ribosomal RNA is filed under the name uncultured bacterium. RNAcentral's name for it is "partial 16S ribosomal RNA". It matches the Rfam family "Bacterial small subunit ribosomal RNA", at positions 524 to 776 of the family's 1533-position model. The record is from RNAcentral.